GAAUUCGCCCUUAGAGUUUGAUCCUGGCUCAGGACGAACGCUGGCGGCGUGCCUAACACAUGCAAGUCGAACGGAACUGUUUUGAAAGAUUUCUUCGGAAUGAAUUUGAUUUAGUUUAGUGGCGGACGGGUGAGUAACGCGUGAGUAACCUGCCUUCAAGAGGGGGAUAACAUUCUGAAAAGAAUGCUAAUACCGCAUGACAUAUCGGAACCACAUGGUUCUGAUAUCAAAGAUUUUAUCGCUUGAAGAUGGACUCGCGUCCGAUUAGUUAGUUGGUGAGGUAACGGCUCACCAAGACCGCGAUCGGUAGCCGGACUGAGAGGUUGAACGGCCACAUUGGGACUGAGACACGGCCCAGACUCCUACGGGAGGCAGCAGUGGGGGAUAUUGCGCAAUGGGGGCAACCCUGACGCAGCAACGCCGCGUGAAGGAUGAAGGUUUUCGGAUUGUAAACUUCUUUUAUUAAGGACGAAACUUGACGGUACUUAAUGAAUAAGCUCCGGCUAACUACGUGCCAGCAGCCGCGGUAAUACGUAGGGAGCAAGCGUUGUCCGGAUUUACUGGGUGUAAAGGGUGCGUAGGCGGCUUUGCAAGUCAGAUGUGAAAUCUAUGGGCUCAACCCAUAAACUGCAUUUGAAACUGUAGAGCUUGAGUGAAGUAGAGGCAGGCGGAAUUCCCCGUGUAGCGGUGAAAUGCGUAGAGAUGGGGAGGAACACCAGUGGCGAAGGCGGCCUGCUGGGCUUUAACUGACGCUGAGGCACGAAAGCGUGGGUAGCAAACAGGAUUAGAUACCCUGGUAGUCCACGCUGUAAACGAUGAUUA
RNAcentral lists this ribosomal RNA (822 nucleotides) under uncultured bacterium. Its description in RNAcentral is "bacterial SSU rRNA". It matches the Rfam family "Bacterial small subunit ribosomal RNA", at positions 1 to 815 of the family's 1533-position model. The record is from RNAcentral.